Molecule: ribosomal RNA, 257 nt
Filed under: uncultured bacterium
Lineage: Bacteria
Description: partial 16S ribosomal RNA
Rfam family: Bacterial small subunit ribosomal RNA
Source: RNAcentral
CACGUAAGGGGCAAGCGUUGUUCGGAAUUAUUGGGCGUAAAGGGCGUGCAGGCGGUCGAGAAAGUCUGGUGUGAAAGGUUGGAGCUUAACUCCAAAAUCGCGCUGGAAACUGCUCUGACUUUUGGAGUCCCGGAGAGGAAGCUAGAAUUCCAGGUGUAGGGGUGAAAUCUGUAGAUAUCUGGAAGAAUACCGAUGGCGAAGGCAAGCUUCUGGCCGAGGACUGACGCUGAGGCGCGAAAGCGUGGGGAGCAAAUAGG